GAUGAACGCUAGCUACAGGCUUAACACAUGCAAGUCGAGGGGAAACGACAUCGAAAGCUUGCUUUUGAUGGGCGUCGACCGGCGCACGGGUGAGUAACGCGUAUCCAACCUGCCCAUCACUUGGGAAUAACCUUGCGAAAGUAAGACUAAUACCCAAUGAUAUCCCACGAAGGCAUCGGAAUGGGAUUAAAGAUUUAUCGGUGAUGGAUGGGGAUGCGUCUGAUUAGCUUGUUGGCGGGGUAACGGCCCACCAAGGCAACGAUCAGUAGGGGUUCUGAGAGGAAGGUCCCCAACAUUGGAACUGAGACACGGUCCAAACUCCUACGGGAGGCAGCAGUGAGGAAUAUUGGUCAAUGGGCGAGAGCCUGAACCAGCCAAGUAGCGUGCAGGAAGACGGCCCUAUGGGUUGUAAACUGCUUUUAUAAGGGAAUAAAGUGGGUCACGUGUGACUUUUUGCAUGUACCUUAUGAAUAAGGACCGGCUAAUUCCGUG
RNAcentral lists this ribosomal RNA (492 nucleotides) under uncultured bacterium. RNAcentral describes it as "partial 16S ribosomal RNA". It matches the Rfam family "Bacterial small subunit ribosomal RNA", at positions 28 to 507 of the family's 1533-position model. The record is from RNAcentral.